This 183-nucleotide unclassified non-coding RNA is filed under the name uncultured Saccharomycetales. RNAcentral's name for it is "sequence contains ITS2". The record is from RNAcentral. Lineage: Eukaryota; Fungi; Ascomycota; Saccharomycetes.
UCAUUCUUAAAUCUAUGGAUUUAGUGUUGAGUCGAUUUGUCCGAAAAAUGACAAUUGCUUGAAAUGAAUUUUGGCAGAGGCGACUAUAUUUUAGCUUUUACAACGUAUUAGGUUUUACCAUCUCGUUGGAAAUAUUACGGCGAAUAGAAGUGGCUUUGGCGUUAUAAACAUUUUUUAUAAAAA